GGACCCAUAGCUCAGCUGGAUAGAGCGCUGCCCUCCGAAGGCAGAGGUCGCUGGUUCGAAUCCAGCUGGGUUCA
RNAcentral lists this transfer RNA (74 nucleotides) under Sulfitobacter guttiformis. It matches the Rfam family "tRNA". Rfam says of the family: Transfer RNA (tRNA) molecules are approximately 80 nucleotides in length. The record is from Rfam by way of RNAcentral. Lineage: Bacteria; Pseudomonadati; Pseudomonadota; Alphaproteobacteria; Rhodobacterales; Roseobacteraceae. RNAcentral also lists the same sequence under 3 other names.